This 504-nucleotide ribosomal RNA is filed under the name uncultured bacterium. Its description in RNAcentral is "partial 16S ribosomal RNA". It matches the Rfam family "Bacterial small subunit ribosomal RNA", at positions 28 to 523 of the family's 1533-position model. The record is from RNAcentral.
GAUGAACGCUAGCGGCAGGCUUAAUACAUGCAAGUCGUGGGGCAGCAUGAGUGUAGCAAUACAUUUGAUGGCGACCGGCAAACGGGUGCGGAACACGUACAGAACCCUCCUUCAAGCGGGGCAUAGCCCAGAGAAAUUUGGAUUAAUACCCCAUAAUAUAAUGAAGAGGCAUCUCUUUGUUAUUAAAGAUUUAUCACUUGAAGAUGGCUGUGCGGCUGAUUAGGUAGUUGGCGGGGUAACGGCCCACCAAGCCUGCGAUCAGUAACUGGUGUGGACGCACGACCAGUCACACGGGAACUGAGACACGGGCCCGACUCCUACGGGAGGCAGCAGUAAGGAAUAUUGGUCAAUGGACGCAAGUCUGAACCAGCCAUGCCGCGUGGAGGAUGAAGGUCCUCUGGAUUGUAAACUUCUUUUAUAUGGGACGAAAAAAGGCUUUUCUAAGUCGUCUGACGGUACCAUAUGAAUAAGCACCGGCUAACUCCGUGCCAGCCGCCGCGGUAA